GGGCGGGUAGUCUAGAGCUUCGGUGAAGCGGGGAACAUGGUAUGACUUGGUGAGCCCCUUUGAGGUUCACCACGUAUAACCGGCUUCGGGAGCCGGAGGCCCCGGGUUCAAAGCGUGCAUGUACUGGCAUGCGCGUGUGACUCCUGGCCCGCCCACCA
Molecule: transfer RNA, 158 nt
Filed under: Candidatus Jordarchaeia archaeon
Lineage: Archaea; Promethearchaeati; Candidatus Jordarchaeia
Description: tRNA-Pro
Source: RNAcentral